CCAUUCGCCAACUUGUUAUUCUCCCUUUGUUUUGUGUUUGUUCUGAGUAAAACGUGACCACAACGAACAAAGCAAAGAGAAGAAGCUCAAGCAAACACAAACAAAGGAGGAAUAAAAGAAGCAAGGGAGCCGUUUCAAAGGCAUAUCCCACCCACUACUACUACUACUACUACUUGCCAUACCUACUACCUAUUCCCACCCGAUUUGUUCCACUGUCCACAUUUUGCGAUUUUCCAGCGCUACUUCUGAUGGCACGAAGUCCUUUCGUUCGUUCUCCUGUCUUCCUUCGCACCAUUCCAGCAUUCCAAGAUGAAAAGGGAAACAGACAUAGACGGGAAAUGUGUAUUUCGUCUGAAGCAUUGGAAGUCUCUCCAGAACCCCAGCCUUAGGUAGGUAUCCAGACAGCUUCGAGAAUGAGGUGACUAUCAUACAGAGAAGUUAUCGGAGACAUCAGGGUGUUGUGUGAAAAACUGAUUUAAAGAUGGUAGCGGCAAGACUAAAAUUAUGGUUCACUACACCCGCUACUGCCAUCCAAUUUUAAUGGAAGAAAACACUGACCAUUCAGAAGAUUCUGUCGGUGUACAAGGCAUUCGAAACAGGUGGAGGCUGGUCACUGAUGAAAUUUUUCAACCCUUAAACUAAGAAAAUGGCGAAGAAAAAAAUUGCUGCUGCCAUAAAGAAAUGAACAAAGAAUAUCAUGCCAAAUGCCUUGCAGGUGAUGUUGACGACAAAGCGAAUAUCAGAGGCUUUCUAAAAGAUAAAGUUAUAGACUUCUGGGAAGAAGCAGAACAUUGCCGUUCACAACAUAUAAAAAGGAAUAUGGGAAAGAGAGACAAUUGUAUACACCUAUAUAUACUGUAUUCUGUAAGAAGCAUUAAGGUGUUAGGUCCACUGUUGAAACUAUGCUACAGAAUAUCAGACAUUUGGAUACAAAUUAGACAAAUGUACAGAGAACUUUGACACAAAUACUCAGAGCUUGGGAGAGAUUAUGGAUAAACUGCUUCAGCCGAGGACCCAACAUUUCUGGAGACCAAAAUUGAUGAAAGUAUGGCUGUCAGAGAAACGACCCUGAUUUCAAGUCUUGUCAGUAAGAACUCUUCUAUGCUACUUCAUAUGGUCCAACAUCAGGGAAAUUGAUGACAGAGUAGGUAAUCUCCUUAAGCAAUUAGAAAAAGUGGGGCAAAUGAAAGUGAAGAUAAUGGAACACCUAAACAGAAGUACAGGUGUUAUUACAUUUAAUGUAAUAGGAAAGCAUGUUACCCUGGGAUUGUUAAGAGCACCUUGACCGAUAUUUCAAUUACUAGUCACUGGUUCACUGUAUAACAUCUGGAAUAUACUAUUCCUUCUUGUAUUUUGGUCGCUAUGUUCCACCUUAUCUGUGACUACCCCAUAUAGUUUGGGACACACUGUUACUCCAUAGCACAAUUAUUCUAGUAUCUCUCCCAUUGGACUUAUUUGGCUUUCUCCUUUUUCAUUCAAUUUGUGUGUCAAAUUGAGGUAUGCUGCACCUCACUUCUGUAAGAGGUGCUAAAUGGUAACAUGCAUGGAUGUUGAGCAAUGGAACCAGGUUGCAAUAGAGAUAAUAAGAGAAGAACUUUGAGCACUGGUAUUCAGUCCAUUCAGCAAGCUGCCAGGCAAACUAAAACAUUGAAAAAAGUAAGGACAGUGAAGAUGAAAUUAAAAGCAAUGCUUACUUACAAAAUCUUAGGGACAUGGAAACAUGGAAAUUUGAUGGGUCAGGAAAUUACUACACAAUCUGAAGAAAAGUUCCUGACUGUAGAACGGAAUGAGGCUUGAAAAGGAGUGUCCAUUGCCAACAAAACCUACGCCAUCAUAGACCAAUCUGUUUCUGGGGUGGCAGUCAGUAGGAGGAACUGGAGGCAAAGUGAAGCUGGCCUUGAUCUGUUUGUCAUAUGGAUAUGCAGUUUUUUAAAAAAUUCUACCACCCUCAUAGUAUGGAGCAUCAAACAUUUUCAAGAAAAUGUGAAGAUUCUUCUGUGACUACAUACAGCAGCACUAACUUUGUUUUUUAUAUAUGUAAAACUAAUGUAAUUUGUCAUGUAACAGUUACAAAUGCUAGAGAAAUAUCAGUUAUAUACAUGUAUAAAAUAGAUAGAUAUGUAUCUCCAUUUUAGCAAGUAGUGCAGUAUGUGGUAGAGGCUCAGUUUUCUGUUUAAAUUUCUUAUCAGCUCAAUAGCGCUUCCAAAUAGGUUGAUAUGCUUCAGGAAAAAGGUUCUAAUUGAAUUUCUUAUUGGUUUGGAAUGAACAGUUACACAGUAAUAGGACCUGGAAUGUUCAGAUUCUACAUACAUUUUUUAGUAUUGAAUCGAAUGUCAGGUAGCCAAUAUUUUUUAGGUAAUUCAUAUUGAUUUCAUAAAAAGUUAAUUAGCUAGUUGAGACCUCAUUUGGUUUUCAAAUGCAUAGUUUAUACACAUUUUUCAUUUUUGUACAUGAACUUCCCUGCCAGAUAUAUACUUAGCUUAGGUCUCUGACGUCACGACAGAAAAUUCAAAACUCGCGGCACACGCUACAGGUAGGUCAGGUGAUCUACUUUACCUGCCGCUGGGAGGCGGAUGUAAGAACCAGUCCCCCUUUCUUGUCAGAUUAUUUUCUGUCGCCGGCUGGACAACACCUGUUGUUCAGUCCUUACGAUAGUUAAAUUCGUUCUCGUUGCCGACGAUUUGGAUUUUGGUGAAGUACCCUUUGUUUGUUGGCUUGGCAUACGCUUUUUGGACUGUUUUUUGGAUUUUUCUUUUGGAUUUCUCUUACAAUAUAUAAUCAUGGAUGAUUCUUAAGUUAAGAAACCUAGUUUAUUUAGGGUUUGUUCAGUGAAGGAAUGUAAAGUUAGGCUUCCUAAAGCUGCAUUAGAUCCUCACUCUGUAUGUACGUCUUGUAGAGGGAAUGAAUGCUCUUUUAUUAACCCUUGCAAAGAGUGUGAGAAUUUGGAUGAGGAUGGUUGGAAGGCUCUUUCUUCUUAUGUGAGAAAGUUAGAGAAGGAUAGGGUGCGCAAGGCUUCUUCAAGGAGCUCUAGUAGAUCGAGGGUGAGUGAAGU
Molecule: long non-coding RNA, 3052 nt
Organism: Macrobrachium nipponense
Lineage: Eukaryota; Metazoa; Arthropoda; Malacostraca; Decapoda; Palaemonidae
Exons: 6
Source: RefSeq, a predicted model, not a curated record